RNAcentral lists this ribosomal RNA (385 nucleotides) under uncultured bacterium. RNAcentral describes it as "bacterial SSU rRNA". It matches the Rfam family "Bacterial small subunit ribosomal RNA", at positions 28 to 407 of the family's 1533-position model. The record is from RNAcentral.
GACGAACGCUGACGGUGUGCUUUAGGCAUGCAAGUCGAACGAGAAAGCCCUUCGGGUGAGUAAAGUGGCGAACGGGUGAGUAACACGUGGGCAACCUGCCCCUCGCAGGGGGACAACCGGAGGAAACUCCGGCUAAUACCCCGUACGUUCCCAGGGUCGCAUGGCCCUGGGAGGAAAGGUAGCUUCGGCCAUCCGGCGAGGGAUGGGCCCGCGGUGCAUUAGCUAGUUGGUGGGGUAACGGCCCACCAAGGCGACGAUGCAUAGCUGGUCUGAGAGGAUGAUCAGCCACACUGGGACUGAGACACGGCCCAGACUCCUACGGGAGGCAGCAGCCAGGAAUCUUGGGCAAUGGGCGCAAGCCUGACCCAGCAACACCGUGUGGGCG